Macaca mulatta (Rhesus monkey) is the source of this 3592-nucleotide non-coding RNA. NCBI's taxonomy places the organism in Eukaryota, Metazoa, Chordata, Mammalia, Primates, Cercopithecidae. The record is from RefSeq and is a predicted model, not a curated record.
UUAAGGAGCAAUCAAUGCUUUUUCUUUUAAAAAGUGAGAGUUUCAAUUAAGUUUUAGAAAGUAAGGUUAUCUUUGAGAUGUAAAUAGUAUGUUAACAUUGUGCUGGACUCUAAAAAGCUAAGUACAUUAACUUGGAAUGUGCUGAGCUAGUGGUAAAUUGGUAUCCAGCCUGCAGUUGCCAGAGGAGAAUUUUUGUCUUGUCUUCACAUAGAAGAGAAAAUGCAAGGGAGUCUGGGUCAAUUAAUUGCCUACCGGAGCACUGCCCUGUCUAUUUCCAGCAGGGAAAACUGAAGAGGGCUGACUGGUCUACUCUGACAUUUCACCGGAUUGGACAAGGCUAGUAAGGUGAAAGAGAAGACGCCUGAAGAUUGCAGAGAGCUAGUGACAACAUCACUGAAAUGGUUGAGAUCCACAGUGUGUCAGGAGGCAUGCAAAAGAGGUGCACUGUUGUAAGUUUAUAGCUCAAAGAAUUUUUACAAAAUGAACACACCUGAACUGCUAUCACCAGAUUAAGAAGCCUUCCUGUGCCCCUUCAUAGGUGCUUUCACUCAACAAAGUCAUUCCCAACAAUUAAUACUACUGAGUCCUAAUGAAGAGGAUUAUAAAAUGUUCCCUUACUUGUGACCACUUCAAAUCAGAAGGUGCAGAAGAUUCAUCAGUGAUCAAGACAGUCAGAGUCCCUGUCAUCAGUGGACUUCAAGUAUAAUAAGAAAGACAAGACAAUGAAAAAUGUAGAGGGCAAAAUAUCUCCUUAGGAAACAGUGGACUAAGACUCUGUUAUUUUGAAUUUGAAUUCUGCGUGAUGGUAGACACAGAACCUGGAUUAGUGCUGUCAUACAAAAAAUCGGCCACAACAACACACAUAUGGGAAAAGAACAGCAUUGUCAGGAACAAAUGGACACUAAGAGAAAGAAGAAAACAGAGGCAAGAGGCUCCAGGCUUCGCUAAUUGCUAUCCCAAGACAAAGAAUAUCUCUCAAUACUAUUAAAUAUAGAUGUCUGGACUGAAUUGAGCUUACAUGACAACUGCAGUCAAGAUUCUGCAACUCAGAAUGGGCAAACCAGGUAAGCGGUGCCAUUUUUAGAACGUUGUUUUAAUAAGGUUUAUUCCUGUCUGGGUCGGCUGCAUUUUACAUUUGUAAUCAUCAGGCUGUGAGUGUGAAGAGUUAUUGCCAUGACAACCAGGACUGACUGACUUGCCUUUCAGAAAUGGUAACGAUUCAGCAUGUUUGUAGAUGAUACCUGUGGUUCUCAAUGACUUUCUAGAAGGUCAUAUGGUUUUGGCAGAUGUUCCCAGUGGUGUGGAAAGACUACUGGAUGAGAAAAAAUGUGAACUGUAUUCUAGUCCUCCCUCUCGUUGAACCAGGUGUAUAGCCUCAGGCAAAUCUCCGCCUAUUGGGGGCCUCAGUUUCUUCAUCCAUUUAAUAGGAAGCUAUAGCUAGUUUAUAUAGUCUUUAAGGUUGUUUACAGUUCCAAAUUUCUCUGAUUUCUUAGACUUAUAUAUUUAUGAGACUGUUGAGCAAGAUAGUCUAUCUACUCACUCCAUAAUCCUGUCUUCACUUUUAAACGUUUUGUUAAUUCUGUAUUUUUAAAUCUUACUUUCAGAACUGUUUUGAAUCACAAAGAAAAACCCUUUCUUAAUUUUAUAAUUUUUGAUCCAGCUUACUCUCCAGAUUUUUAUUUUUAAAAAAACCAAACAGCUCCAAACACUUGCAGAUUAAAAAUUAUCCAAGUAGAAAGAACAGGUCUAAAAAUGUGUUGAGCAAUUGCAGCUUGAUUGGGAUACAAGUGUAAUUUUUCAAGGUAAUAGAUUUGAAUGUCUCAACUCAUUUGAUACACAUGUGUACACUGGAUUUUUAAAAAAAUAUCGAAGCCUGCACUUCAACCAGUAGUUGAUUAUUUUGAUUAUUGUUCGCAAUAAAAACAUGAACUAACUGCUUGGCGACUGUGUUCUUUGUUCUUCUUGGCUGCGUAUAGUGGCUGGCAAUCCUUUUUAACCAUCAUAUAUAAUAGCUAUCUAACUCCUGAUUUUUGUGUAACAUAAAGCGAUGUUUCAUAAUGAAUCAUUUUGUCUGUUCGUGUUCAAGUGCCCUAUCUAUUCUAUCAUUUGAAAAGCUAGUUAUGAUAGUAUGGUUUCAAUUGUCAGACAUUCUCUUUAUUCGAAAAAAAUAGGUUGACCCACAUUUAGAUGUUUUCCUACUCAAAGGACUUUGAAAGAACUUUUAUAUAACACUUAGUCAUUGCCCUUUUCACAGUCCCUCUUCCGCUGCUUCUAAUUAGGCUCCUUGGUAGCUGGAAUCAUCAUUUCCCUGGGAUGAAGGCACAUGGUACCAACACGUUUGUUGUUUGAUUUGGAGGGUCAAAUAUGGACUUGCUUCUUUUGGCCCACCUUACUGUUGUGCUUUUUGCAGGCGGAAUUGACUUAGGUUUGUCUUUUCACUUUGGCCUUUCUUAUCUGUUCACGUUUUCAUCUUUAUUUCCUAGUCUUCUUCCUUUAUUCUCUGACAUUCACUUAAUCUAACCCCUUUUUUCAGGUCUUCCAAUGUUUCCCUUUCUCGUGCCUUAAGUGUUUCUAGACUUGCAUCUGAAUUUAUGUGCUUAUCUUGAUCUUUUCUCAGUUUAUAAUACUUAUAAGCUCAUGUCUUCAUAGCAAGGUGGGCUUCAGGGCACAGGACCUAUGCAGGUGCACGCUUAGAGGGACCCCACACUUGGUUUAGUGCUCUGCUCUUACCAUCUUAUUUUUUAAAAUACGUUUUGAACAAGAACCUCUGCCUGUUCAUUUUAUACUGGUCCCCACAAAUUAGGUAGCUGUUCCUGAUUGUAGUUAUUUUUUUCCCCUUCUAGUUGGGUAAGUGGUUUUUGUUUUAAUCUUGAAUUAUUUUUCAUUCCUCAUAACAUUUUUAAUUUAUUCCCUUUCCGUGGCACACUAUUCUGACUGCUAUUUUAAUGUAGUCAUAUUAGCUCCUUUUAUUUCUCACAUCCUUCAGGAACAUUUAGCUUUAUAGAAAAAAUUAUAUAUGGUCAACUUUUUAUUAGCCACCCUGACUAAGGAAGAAGAGAAUGAGAGAAUCAAUAAAGAUUACAGUUUGCAAAGGGAAUAAUUUUGGGAGCACACUGUAUGGUUUUUCCCUUUGUGAGACUUAUCUUUUUAUACUUGUUUGCUCAGGUUAAUUGGUUUGCACUUCCUGAAUUGACAAUAAUUGGUGGUUGGGGGAGCCUGCUGAGUGGCAGAGGUUAGCUAACCUGAGGUUAAAUAUCUCUACUAACAAAGGAGAUUGAUUGUUCUCAUAUUUUCCAUUUUUAGACAAAAGAAAUGAAUCAUUUUUUAGUUUUCAGUUUUGCUUGAGGAGAUUAGUAGGAUGUAAAGACUUUUCUAAUAAUAUUAAAACACCUUUUUUGGAUUUGACAAACCAAAUGUCCUAUCCUUAUCUUUUUAUCUGGUGGCAGUCUGAAUCAAUUUACCCUGCGAUCCUGUCUGCUGGGAAACAUUGAAAUAGUAAGGAAGUCUGAUGUGCCUCUAGGUUAAUCCAGCUGCCUGGGUGUCAGUUAUUAUUAUUAUUUCAUUAAAAACAUUUUAUAUCACUUAUUAGGUG